CCUACGGGUGGCAGCAGUGGGGAAUAUUGCUCAAUGGGCGCAAGCCUGAAGCAGCCACGCCGCGUGAAGGAUGAAGGUUUUCGGAUUGUAAAGCUCUAUUGUUAGAGAAGAAAAUGACGGUACCUGACUAAUAAGCUCCGGCUAAAUACGUGCCAGCAGCCGCGGUAAUACGGAGGGAGCAAGCGUUAUCCGGAAUUACUGGGUGUAAAGGGAGCGUAGACGGGUUAGCAAGUCAGAUGUGAAAUGCUGGGGCUCAACCAUAGGACUGCAUUUGAAACUGUAAAUCUUGAGUACGGGAGAGGUAGGCGGAAUUCGUGGUGUAGCGGUGAAAUGCGUAGAUAUCAAGAGGAACACCGAUUGCGAAGGCGGCUUACUAGACGGUAACUGACGUUGAGGCUCGAAAGCGUGGGGAGCAAACAGGAUUAGAUACCCGUGUAGUC
Molecule: ribosomal RNA, 440 nt
Filed under: uncultured bacterium
Lineage: Bacteria
Description: partial 16S ribosomal RNA
Rfam family: Bacterial small subunit ribosomal RNA
Source: RNAcentral